This 446-nucleotide ribosomal RNA is filed under the name uncultured bacterium. Its description in RNAcentral is "bacterial SSU rRNA". It matches the Rfam family "Bacterial small subunit ribosomal RNA", at positions 329 to 792 of the family's 1533-position model. The record is from RNAcentral.
CACCAGACUCCUACGGGAGGCAGCAGUGGGGAAUAUUGCACAAUGGGGGAAACCCUGAUGCAGCAACGCCGCGUGAGUGAAGAAGUAUUUCGGUAUGUAAAGCUCUAUCAGCAGGGAAGAGAAUGACGGUACCUGACUAAGAAGCCCCGGCUAACUACGUGCCAGCAGCCGCGGUAAUACGUAGGGGGCAAGCGUUAUCCGGAUUUACUGGGUGUAAAGGGAGCGUAGACGGCUGGCCAAGUCUGAAGUGAAAGCCCGGGGCUUAACCCCGGAACGGCUUUGGAAACUGGCCGGCUGGAGUGCUGGAGAGGCAGGCGGAAUUCCUGGUGUAGCGGUGAAAUGCGUAGAUAUCAGGAGGAACACCGGUGGCGAAGGCGGCCUGCUGGACUGCAACUGACGUUGAGGCCCGAAAGCGUGGGGAGCAAACAGGAUUAGAUACCCUUGUA